RNAcentral lists this ribosomal RNA (144 nucleotides) under Triticum aestivum (bread wheat). Its description in RNAcentral is "partial small subunit ribosomal RNA". Lineage: Eukaryota; Viridiplantae; Streptophyta; Magnoliopsida; Poales; Poaceae. The record is from RNAcentral.
AUGUGGUCGUUUGCGCCCCUAUCCACGUACCAGUUUGUCAGUCGCGUGCGGUGUGGCCAUGUUUGCCACAGAUUUGGUAGCGCGGGGCGUCAGGACUCGUGCGAGGCUUGCCACCACGGCGGCCCUUGUUGUUGUUGUUGUUGA